This 404-nucleotide ribosomal RNA is filed under the name uncultured bacterium. RNAcentral's name for it is "bacterial SSU rRNA". It matches the Rfam family "Bacterial small subunit ribosomal RNA", at positions 355 to 776 of the family's 1533-position model. The record is from RNAcentral.
UGGGGAAUAUUGCACAAUGGGGGGAACCCUGAUGCAGCGACGCCGCGUGAAGGAGGAAGUGCUUCGGCAUGUAAACUUCUAUCAGCAGGGAAGAAAAUGACGGUACCUGACUAAGAAGCCCCGGCUAACUACGUGCCAGCAGCCGCGGUAAUACGUAGGGGGCAAGCGUUAUCCGGAUUUACUGGGUGUAAAGGGAGCGUAGGCGGCCGUGCAAGUCAGAAGUGAAAGCCCAAGGCUCAACCAUGGGACUGCUUUUGAAACUGUGCGGCUAGAUUGCAGGAGGGGCAAGUGGAAUUCCUAGUGUAGCGGUGAAAUGCGUAGAUAUUAGGAGGAACACCAGUGGCGAAGGCGGCUUGCUGGACUGUAAAUGACGCUGAGGCUCGAAAGCGUGGGGAGCAAACAGG